RNAcentral lists this ribosomal RNA (301 nucleotides) under uncultured bacterium. RNAcentral describes it as "partial 16S ribosomal RNA". It matches the Rfam family "Bacterial small subunit ribosomal RNA", at positions 509 to 808 of the family's 1533-position model. The record is from RNAcentral.
CAGUAGCCGCGGUAAAACGUAUGUCACAAGCGUUAUCCGGAUUUAUUGGGCGUAAAGCGCGUCUAGGUGGUUAUGUAAGUCUGAUGUGAAAAUGCAGGGCUCAACUCUGUAUUGCGUUGGAAACUGUGUAACUAGAGUACUGGAGAGGUAAGCGGAACUACAAGUGUAGAGGUGAAAUUCGUAGAUAUUUGUAGGAAUGCCGAUGGGGAAGCCAGCUUACUGGACAGAUACUGACGCUGAAGCGCGAAAGCGUGGGUAGCAAACAGGAUUAGAUACCCGCGUAGUCCCUGUCUCUUAUACA